This 371-nucleotide ribosomal RNA is filed under the name uncultured Glomeromycotina. RNAcentral describes it as "LSU rRNA". Lineage: Eukaryota; Fungi; Glomeromycota. The record is from RNAcentral.
UUGAAAGGGAAACGAUUGAAGUCAGUCGUNCCNACGAGAAAUCAGCUCAUCGUGUGUUAACUUGUGGGCGUGCGUGAGUUUCGGCCUCGCUGUUUGCAUGUUUGUGCACUUUGGGUGUACUUUUUCGUAUGGUUGGCCAACAUCAGUUUCGAUCACUAUAAAAUGACUGGCGGAAUGUAGCUUCGAUUUCGGUUGAAGUGUUAUAGCCUCUGGUAGAUGUAGUAAUUGGGACUGAGGAUUGCAACGAAUAUCCUUUGGGCUAUCCGUCUGGCCUCUGAAAGUUGCUUGGGUGCUGAAAGCUUGCUUAUGGUUAUCUAAGUUAACGGUCAAUAGGUUAGAACGUGAUUACAUUCGUUAAGGAUGUUGACGUA